Molecule: ribosomal RNA, 427 nt
Filed under: uncultured bacterium
Lineage: Bacteria
Description: bacterial SSU rRNA
Rfam family: Bacterial small subunit ribosomal RNA
Source: RNAcentral
AUUGAACGCUGGCGGCAGGCCUAACACAUGCAAGUCGAGCGGAAACGAGUUAUCUGAACCUUCGGGGAACGAUAACGGCGUCGAGCGGCGGACGGGUGAGUAAUGCCUAGGAAAUUGCCUUGAUGUGGGGGAUAACCAUUGGAAACGAUGGCUAAUACCGCAUAAUGCCUACGGGCCAAAGAGGGGGACCUUCGGGCCUCUCGCGUCAAGAUAUGCCUAGGUGGGAUUAGCUAGUUGGUGAGGUAAUGGCUCACCAAGGCGACGAUCCCUAGCUGGUCUGAGAGGAUGAUCAGCCACACUGGAACUGAGACACGGUCCAGACUCCUACGGGAGGCAGCAGUGGGGAAUAUUGCACAAUGGGCGCAAGCCUGAUGCAGCCAUGCCGCGUGUAUGAAGAAGGCCUCGGUUGUAAGUACUUUCUAGUCGU